Molecule: small nucleolar RNA, 134 nt
Organism: Phyllopteryx taeniolatus (common seadragon)
Lineage: Eukaryota; Metazoa; Chordata; Actinopteri; Syngnathiformes; Syngnathidae
Product: small nucleolar RNA ACA64
Exons: 1
Source: RefSeq, a predicted model, not a curated record
UCAGUCUGAAAAUUAUCUCAGAUCUAACAGUGAUCUAAGGUCAGAUACCCAAGCCCAAAUUAUUGUUGUGCAUUAAGCUUAUCACUUGCUUGCACAAGAAUUUGUACUGUGGUAAUACCCAUGCACCAACAAUA